AGGCAGUGAUGAGUAAAUCGAGAUAGUCAUGGACCACUCUGAUUUAAUCAGUGCUGAGAAUUUCUCUUACCAUAUUUCUUCUGAGCCU
Small nucleolar RNA from Raphanus sativus (radish), 88 nucleotides. RefSeq annotates it as small nucleolar RNA Z221/R21b. The transcript has a single exon. Lineage: Eukaryota; Viridiplantae; Streptophyta; Magnoliopsida; Brassicales; Brassicaceae. The record is from RefSeq and is a predicted model, not a curated record.